Long non-coding RNA from Quercus lobata, 752 nucleotides. RefSeq lists it as uncharacterized. Lineage: Eukaryota; Viridiplantae; Streptophyta; Magnoliopsida; Fagales; Fagaceae. The record is from RefSeq and is a predicted model, not a curated record. The transcript has 3 exons.
CCUGUACCUUUGAUCACGAGAUUCACUAACGGCUCUCUUCUCUUCUCACCCGAACUGAGCUUCACUCUCGCAGCCCUUUCUUCUUCUUCGCAAUGUUGGACCAAGCCCGCCAUUGAUGGCCUCAGGUUUUCAGGUUAUUGCAUAACGAGGCUGGACAAUAUAGAACAGGAUGGAACUGGUGACGUUUUGGCUGUCAAUCCACUUCCUGUAACACAAUGGAACCUUUAAGCUGUGUCUGUUUUUCUGCACUGGUCACUGGUUUGCUUUUAAUAAAACCAUCCACGACCUCGGUUGGAGGUAUAGGUUUACUCAUUGAUGUUGCGAGUAAUGGGUUGAGAGAAUUUUCCUCCAAAUUGGUUUGUAGAUAAACUUCUUUAAAGGUUUCAUUUCUAACUUGUGAGAUUAAGAUGGAAAAUACAUUAGGCGUUCCCCUUCCCCUUCUCCCUCUAUUUCAGCACCCUCAAUCUAUACGGGUAACUUACUCUUCAACACCCCCUACAUGUAAAUUGUGUGUUUGAGAGAGAUACUUUUCUUGCUUGGUGAUAAACUGAACCCAUCCAGAAUGUGCUCUAAAUGACACCCAGUUGCUCAUACUUUUCCCUCUUCCUUUAAUUGGGAGAGUUCUUGCCCUUUGUGCAGCCAUUGAUUGGAUUCUAAAUUAAAGUCGCAUGCUUUAUGCGCUUCUAUCCAAGUCUAUAGAACUACCAACUAUGCCUAUUAUCAGAUGUUCUAAUUUAAUCAAAGUUCAAAAU